CCUACGGGAGGCAGCAGUGAGGAAUAUUGGUCACUGGUCGGGAGACUGAACCAGCCAAGCCGCGUGAGGGAUGAAGGUACAGAGUAUCGUAAACCUCUUUUGUCAGGGAGCAAAGGCGGGGACGUGUCCCCGGAUGAGUGUACCUGAAGAAAAAGCAUCGGCUAACUCCGUGCCAGCAGCCGCGGUAAUACGGAGGAUGCGAGCGUUAUCCGGUUUUAGUGGGUUUAAAGGGUGCGCAGGCGGUCUGUUAAGUCAGCGGUCAAAGCCCGGGGCCCAACCCCGGCCCGCCGUUGAAACUGGCAGUCUCGAGUUGGAGAGAAGUAUGCGGAAUGCGCGGUGUAGCGGUGAAAUGCAUAGAUAUCGCGCAGAACUCCGAUUGCGAAGGCAGCAUGCCGGCUCCACACUGACGCUGAGGCACGAAAGCGUGGGUAUCGAACAGGAUUAGAUACCCGAGUAGUC
This 459-nucleotide ribosomal RNA is filed under the name uncultured bacterium. Its description in RNAcentral is "partial 16S ribosomal RNA". It matches the Rfam family "Bacterial small subunit ribosomal RNA", at positions 338 to 795 of the family's 1533-position model. The record is from RNAcentral.